Molecule: ribosomal RNA, 762 nt
Filed under: Plynoides sp. 00052196
Lineage: Eukaryota; Metazoa; Arthropoda; Insecta; Hemiptera; Reduviidae
Also listed under: 1 other name
Description: SSU rRNA
Rfam family: Eukaryotic small subunit ribosomal RNA
Source: RNAcentral
GGACUCUAUUGAGGCCCCGUAAUCGGAAUGAGUACACUUUAAAUCCUUUAACAAGGAUCCAUUGGAGGGCAAGUCUGGUGCCAGCAGCCGCGGUAAUUCCAGCUCCAAUAGCGUAUAUUAAAGUUGUUGCGGUUAAAAAGCUCGUAGUUGGUUCUGCGUGCCGCGCUGUCGGUUCGCCGCCUGUCGGUGUAACUGGCAUGUCGCGGCAUGUCCUGUCGGUGGUGAACGGGAUUCCCGGUACAGCGUAGGCUUUUAUAGCCGAAGUUAGUGCCGUGCGAAGUCCGUUUGCCGAUCUCUCCUACUCCGGUGCUCUUAAACGAGUGUCGAGGUAGGCCGACACGUUCACUUUGAACAAAUUAGAGUGCUUAAAGCAGGCUGAAAUAUCUGCCUGAAUAGUGGUGCAUGGAAUGAUAAAAUAGGACCUCGGUUCUAUUUUGUUGGUUUUAGGAAUGUGAGGUAAUGAUCAAUGUGGACUGGCGGGGGCAUUCGUAUUGCGACGUUAGAGGUGAAAUUCUUGGAUCGUCGCAAGACGCACUAAAGCGAAAGCAUUUGCCAAGUAUGUCUUAAUUGAUCAAGAACGAAAGUUAGAGGUUCGAAGGCGAUCAGAUACCGCCCUAGUUCUAACCAUAAACGAUGCCAGCCAGCGAUCCGCCGAUGUUCCAUUAAUGACUCGGCGGGGAGCUUCCACCCGGGAAACCAAAGCUUUUGGGUUCCGGGGGAAGUAUGGUUGCAAAGCUGAAACUUAAAGGAAUUGACGGAAGG